AUGGUUCUAAAGGGUAAACUAGAUGAAAUGCGAUCUUUGGAUAAGGACAUUGACAUCCAAAAGUUCAAAGUUGGGCAACAUGAGACUCUUGAACGCAAGAUUGCCUCCUUACCAAAUAUACAAUCAAAGGAAGCUGGAAAUAUUGUAGAUAUUAUUCAAGAGAAUGUGGACCAUGGGGCUAUCACAGGAGAUUUAAGAGCGGAGCUCAGAAAACUGAAGCAAGCUUAUGAGACCCUGAGCUCAAACAAGGAUAAGGAAAUUUCUAAAUUACUUGAAAUGAAGGAUUUUCUUUUGAACCAACUGAUGAGAAUGGACAAGGAUAAUGCAGAGCUCCUUCAGAAAAAGGAAGUGGAGGCAGCACAUGCUAACGAAGCAGCACAAAAGCUUCAGCAGAAUGUAGAGGAGCUGCAAGUGUCAGUCCGAUAUAAGGAUGAUGAGAUUGGCAGAUUGCGAGCAGAAGCGGGGGCCCUAAAGAUAAAGGAAGUGGAGGCAGCACAAGCGAACGAAGCAGCACAAAAGCUUCAGCAGAAUGUAGAGGAGCUGCAAGUGUCAGUCCGAUAUAAGGAUGAUGAGAUUGGCAGAUUGCGAGCAGAAGCGGGGCUCCUGAAGAUAAAGGAAGUGGAGGCAGCACAAGCUAACAAAGCAGUGCAAACGCUUUAG
Molecule: ribosomal RNA, 660 nt
Filed under: Triticum aestivum (bread wheat)
Lineage: Eukaryota; Viridiplantae; Streptophyta; Magnoliopsida; Poales; Poaceae
Description: partial small subunit ribosomal RNA
Source: RNAcentral